Falco peregrinus (peregrine falcon) is the source of this 5199-nucleotide long non-coding RNA. RefSeq lists it as uncharacterized. The record is from RefSeq and is a predicted model, not a curated record. The transcript has 2 exons. NCBI's taxonomy places the organism in Eukaryota, Metazoa, Chordata, Aves, Falconiformes, Falconidae.
CGAGGCCCUGGGGGCUGCCACGCCGCACUCUGGCACCACCCUCCGCUGGGCCCCCCAGCCCUGAGGCCGAGUGUCCUGCUCACUCCCCUUCCCUGCCCCGCACCUGGGGCACAUUUCCACCUCUGUGCAUGCAUGGGGGGGCCCCGCAGUGCCCCUUCCCACACGGCUCCCUCCAAGACUCCCUCCGCAGCCCACAACACCCUGCAGCACAGCCGCUGUCACCACCAGCGCGUGCGUGGGGAGCCCGCGGUAACUUCCAUCUCCCCCCCACAUACUGGCUACACGAGGUCUCCACAGCCAACUGUGCUACCCACAGGACCAGCCGUACCCCAGGGAGGCAUAGUGGCUCUGUGUAUCCCGUUCCUCCCUCUCGCCCUGCACCUAGCUCCACAUGCUGCUCCCUGCUGCAGCCCUCCGGCAGGAAACUCUACAUCGCGUUAUACAGACGUGAACAGUCCAUAGGUAUGAACAUAACCCAAUUAUGCACGUGAAACUGUAUCAUUAGUUUCCCAUUAAACAAAAUCACAUCCCAUCAUGCCACCUUUCCCCUGUCCUAAUCCCCUGUUUAGCAUCUUCACAACACUAUUAAACUCAACAAAGAGGCACCAUCGUGUCCAUCUCUCCCAGUAAGAACAUGGUGUCAAUGACUGCGCUCCUUCCUCUUCAAACAAACGCCUCCACUGUCUCAUGCCCGGUGGUGCAUGUGCACAUUUUGUCCCACCACAGUGAAACAUCCCAAAACACGAGUGGAGGAUUUACUGCUAGACUGCAACAGCUCGUUAUGGAUCCUGCAACACAAUCCGUGCUUUGUCUGCCAAACCACACCAAAGGCACAUCCACACGUACACUGGGCACACAGGUAUUCCAUUACACCGUCCCAUCGCCUCUGCCAUGAGCAUCUUGGACUGUUGGCAAACUUGCCCCUACCUGCACAAGCAGCCCCCGACUGCCCACCUCCUGUUGCCAGCACCUCAACGCUGAGAUAUCAAGCUCUGCCACCCUGUCUGCGUGCCUUUCACCACUGCAUGCUCCAGCAUGGUCCUGCAACACAUGUGCAGCCACUGCACGGCACCAACCACUUAUCACGUGCAUGUCCAUCCCGCCUUGCCAGCAAAGACUACACUGUACAUCCCAAAAUGCUGUUGCAUUUCCUUCUUGCAUGUAUAGAAAUCCCACUAACCCUCCAGCUGGCCGUGGUAUGCACGUGUGUGCUACCCCUGCCUGUAUACCUUUGCUUGAGUGAUGAUGAUGCCAUCAUUUAUCUCAGAUCCACGGAGGAAAAGUGGUAGGCAAGAGCCACACUACUAUUCCACAGAUGCUAUCCAUCCUCCACACAGAUCAAGUGUAGCAGAAUAUCCAGCACUACAGAAACAUCAGGUGGAUAGCACACCACCAAACUCCCGCAGACCCCUGCAGGACUUUUCAUUCCCCCUUUUGUGUGCUGACAGCCAUAAUCCUCUCUAAUAGGAGCCAGAUGGAUGGCCAUGCCAAAUUCCCAUGCCAAGCAGCCUGGCCUCAAGCAGUGACCGCCGCACUCUGCGCGUACCUCUUUGGUUGGUUUGGCGAGAGGUGGCGAGAGGUACGAAGCAGGCAAAGACCCUGCAAAGGCAGUUAGUUACUGGGGCUGUCUCUACAGGUGCUCCCUGAUGCUCUUGCUGGCAAGGUUGUAUCUGCAGAAGGCCGUUUGCUACGUGCAACACGUACCCCGAGCCUCAGCCACUGAAGCAUCAAGCUUCCCAACCAGCCACUGCUUCCUUAAAUCUGUCUCUGUACAGCACCUGAACACAUUUUUAUCAUGAGUGCCUCCAAGCUUCCCCACCUCACCUCCAUCUCCUUUUUCUCUGUAAGUUGAGGUUUCUCAGUCUGCAGAAGCCUUAACUUUCACUCUCAAAAAAUCCAUGCAGGAUGUAAGUGAUUAUGAUUAAGGUGUUUUUAGUGCUUGUCAGGGCCAAGCAGAUUAAAUGGAUUUUUAAAAAAUGAGGCUUCUAAAUCUUUUCCUUUGAUGAUCACAAUGUGAGAUACAUUUCCAGCUGUUUGGCUGCUUUAAAUGUGGGAGUUGCCUACCUUACUGUGGUUUGCUCGCUUACCUGGUUUAACUGAAUUUUCUGAGUUCAUAGCUCUUGGCUUCGAAGCAAUUACAGCUAGACCCGUGGAAUAUAAUCUUCCCUACCUGCUGAUGGGCAUCAGUGCCCCAAACAAGCCCACAGCACGCUUCUGUGGGGAAAACGCCUGCAACAUCGCUUCGCUUCAGUGCUGUGCCUGCAUUAGGGAAAUUCAAACUAACCAGACGACCCUCCCCACACCCCUGCCCGGUUCUGCUUCCAAGGACAACUGGGCAAAGCGGUCUCUGUACCCCCCACAGCAAUGCUGGCGUGGCCUCUGAAUUAUUUCUGUAGGUUUGUGUGUGGACUGGGUCACUCAGGGUUCAGGUCCUGCCCCACCUGCCUCCCCUGGCCAGGCUUUUAUCAGGCCCGCAGCCCUUUCUCGGUUUCACUUUCGACAGAGACAUGUUUCUCCAAUGUAACAAGAAGAGCAAAGUGGGACAUUGUUUCACCGUGGUACUCAGUCCCUGUUUUCACUCAGACGCAGGUGGAGCUCCUUUCAUGUCCAACAACAAAGCACAGGUGUUAAUGGUUCAGAUGCCAGAUGUGAUGCUUCCACUGCAUUGUUUCAUUUGGGAUCCAGGAUACAGACAUACUUCUGUUUUACUCUUCAUUCUUGCUGUUCUUCUGACUGAGGGUUUGCUCUAGCCUGACUGUAAUAUUUGUUUUGUCAGGUUACAUGCAACUAGCAAUGUUAAAAAUAUCUUUCAGUAUCUUUAUUAAACUGGUAUAAUCCAAUGUAUUCACAAACAUGGUGCUGUUCCUCAAAGGCUGCAGGUACACUUCACCUUUUCCUUUAACCUGGUUUUGACAUUCCAUUUGUAGCUAAUGUGAACGGACUUAACCCUCAUCUUUUCUAUUCAGCAGCCCUGUAGGCUCUCCUGAUCAUACUGGUGCUUGCCAUGACUCUGAGUCAAGGUCUUACAGCUUCUGCCAGGUAACCUUGAAGAUCUCAGGAUUUCUGAGAAGCCUUGCCUUUUGAUUUUCUUUAGCGAGGCAGAGAAUUUUGCCUUAGACCAUUCUGAGUGUGGAGGGGUACCAAACUCCCAGAUAAGUAACUUUUACUUUGAAAUUAGUAAGAGACUGGUCCCAACUUUCACUCGGUGUCCGGUUAUUGUCCCAGAGUCUGUCCCUUCAACCCUCCUCCCUCCCAUUUUAAAUUGUCUUGUGAGAAUCCUGUCCCCUCAACACCAGCCAAAGCAAUUGUCCUGAAUUCUGCAAGUUUUCCUCAACACCACAAAGCUCUUUCCUCUGCCUGAGGUACUCUUCUGCACUUCCAGACUUCUGCAAAAUCUCCGUGGCAAGCUAAGUGAAUCUAAUCCAUUUUCAUUGUUGCUUUCUUCAUCCUGCCCCCACCCCUUUUUUUGCUUGUUUGUUUUUUGUUUGUUUGUUUUUCUAACAGAGAAGUGUGAGCUUAUUUGUUUAGCACAACGGCAGUGUCUUUGCUUUGGUGUCAGACAUGGAAGAAAACAACACGAGAAAUAGUCUCCUCCUCUUGUGGACAAGAGACCAGAGCCUCUCCUGUCAUGUCCAAAAAGCUGCUCCUGCAGCAAACAAAUGCCACUGCAACGAGAGGCAGAGAGACUUGCACACAGAGAAUUUGGGAGUAUACAACCAGAAUGAGAUAAAGAACCACUGAACAGACCACGUGAUGCUUCUUUUUUGAGAACAACAUUCCAGCGUCAAUGGAGGAUCCAGUCUCUCUAAUGGGCACCUAGGUGAGGACUUCCCAUAUGCCAGCAUGACUCUGCAUCUACUUCCCGUCAGAAGAACGGCAGUUCAGGCUUCGCUCGGCACUCAUCAUGAGCCUCAUCUCCUGUUCUGCCAGGAGGAGGGGGCAGGGUGAAUGGUGCGGCCGUGCAGCCAGAGCCACACCGCACAGGCACAGUGCAUGAGGCAGUGCUAGUGGCAGAGCACUGAGGCAGGGGGAGAGAUAGAGCAGAUUGGGGAUUGCUCAUCCCCCUGUAAAUCUGAACAGCCGAUCUCCAUCUCUGUAUGCUUUGCUAGUUUGCUUGCUUUAAAAACAUCAUGUACUUGGUACUGAUGCCUAUAGCUAAGAUUACUUGAUAUUUUCCAUCACAAGUCCGUUUUCAGUUUCUCAGAACUUUGCCAGACCUCAGACAUUCAGACCUGAAUUUUCCAUGUUUACCUUCACCUUUUUUUUUCUGAAGAUGGAGGCACUUACUAAGAUGUAAGAAACAAAUACUAUUUUGCAAUUGUAAAAAUACUACUUUGCAACAUUAUCAGUCUUUUAACACAGAAUUUUGUAUAUCAUGAAUAACGAAAGCUGGAAGAAAUACUCAGAAGUUAAGGAUGCUUAUUAGUUAGCAGUUUCAGGUUCCCACUUCCCUGAAGUGCCUCAGAGAUGCCCUGCUCCCCUGCUCACGAAACAAACAGUUGGAUCCAGCCAGAGAAGCAGCAAGUGGUCUCAGAGGGACCGUAAUAACAGCCUGGUGGUUCGAGCUGCCCCGACUGCAAUCCUGUGAUACCUAUUUUUGCAUCCUGUAUUAACGCUUGUGCAUGCUGGCAAGAAUCACUAACACUGAAACACAUCUCUUGAGCUCAGUAAGCAGAGAUACUGAAAAAACAGGCUGGGACAGAAUUCUCCUUCAUCUCCUACCUCCAGCUGGAUCUGGGAGAGGCGUUUCCAGCACUGCACCCAGCAACAGCUGUGCUACAGGGAACAGCACAAAUUAGCCUGGAGGCUGUAUGUCCCAUUCAAGGGGGUUCAAACCCCACUGCUGCUGAGCAGAGCUGAUGGACUUGGAUUUGCUCAAGAGAAGGAUGUACAAGACUCAAAUCUCAUUAAGUCACCUUGGGCUCCAAAGCAGCCAGAGGUUUGCAAAGCAUCGAGAGCCCUGAGUGCCUGGAGGCAGUUUUCUCUUGCCUGUAACAGGGAACAACCAGCUGGGUAACUUUGGGGCUGUGCUGUAACCAAGUCACACACUGGGUCCUGCUCAGAGGUGAAGUGCUCCGGGAGGGGUCUUGCUUUGUGCCACACAUGUCCAUGUUUCACCAAGUUGCUGGCUCCUAGCUUUGUGACACCGGGACUCGCAUGGCAAGCUCCUAUUUAAAAAAAUAAAUAAUUGGGGCCAAU